This 426-nucleotide ribosomal RNA is filed under the name Diaphana sp. 15 MAEM-2006. RNAcentral's name for it is "partial 16S ribosomal RNA". It matches the Rfam family "Bacterial large subunit ribosomal RNA", at positions 1811 to 2606 of the family's 2925-position model. Lineage: Eukaryota; Metazoa; Mollusca; Gastropoda; Cephalaspidea; Diaphanidae. The record is from RNAcentral.
AAACAUAGCUCUGAGAAUUUGUUCAGAGUGGGGCCUGCCCAGUGAUAAAAUUAAAUGGCCGCGGUACCUUGACCGUGCUAAGGUAGCAUAAUCAGUUGACUUUUAAAUGAAGUCUGGAAUGAAGGGAGUAACGGAAUUAAGCUGUUUCCUCACCUUUUACUAAAAGUUACUAACUAGGUGAAAAAGCCUAGGAAAGAAAAAAGACGACAAGACCCUGGGAAUUUAAAAUUGUUUUGUUGGGGCGACAAGAAGUCAGAUUAAACACUUCUAUAAAACUAUAGGACGGUACUUUCAUGUGUAGAAAAAUUACCCCAGGGAUAACAGCAUAAUCUUUUAUGGUUUGUGACCUCGAUGUUGGACUAGGGAACUCUAAGGCUAGCUGCUUUAUAGGUAAAUUCUGUUCGAAUUAGUACCCCUACGUGAUCU